AAAGAUACAGUGCACUCUCCACGAGUUCCACUUAUUCAAACCCAUUCCGAGUACCUUACCCGUUGCUUCCGCAAGUCAGUGACUCCGGUCACCUCCAAAGAUGGCGUCAGUCAUCCAAGGGGAGUACUUGCGGAAGGUAUACAAUAAACUCUUGCAUUACCAUGUCAUCUGUCUGAUUAUGUUUAUAACAAAUAUUA
This 197-nucleotide unclassified non-coding RNA is filed under the name soil metagenome. RNAcentral describes it as "partial internal transcribed spacer 1". The record is from RNAcentral.